UAGGUACUCCCUCCGUCCGGAAAUACUUGUCCUACAAAUGGAUAAAAUGGAUGUAUCUAUAACUAAAAUAAAUCUAGAUGCAGCCAUUUUGAGGACAAGUAUUUCCAGAAGGAGGGAGUAGAAA
Non-coding RNA from Triticum urartu, 124 nucleotides. NCBI's taxonomy places the organism in Eukaryota, Viridiplantae, Streptophyta, Magnoliopsida, Poales, Poaceae. The record is from Rfam.